RNAcentral lists this ribosomal RNA (501 nucleotides) under uncultured bacterium. RNAcentral describes it as "partial 16S ribosomal RNA". It matches the Rfam family "Bacterial small subunit ribosomal RNA", at positions 30 to 523 of the family's 1533-position model. The record is from RNAcentral.
AUUGAACGCUGGCGGCAGGCUUAACACAUGCAAGUCGAGCGGGGGGAGGUAGCUUGCUACCGGACCUAGCGGCGGACGGGUGAGUAAUGCUUAGGAAUCUGCCUAUUAGUGGGGGACAACAUCUCGAAAGGGAUGCUAAUACCGCAUACGUCCUACGGGAGAAAGCAGGGGAUCUUCGGACCUUGCGCUAAUAGAUGAGCCUAAGUCGGAUUAGCUAGUUGGUGGGGUAAAGGCCUACCAAGGCGACGAUCUGUAGCGGGUCUGAGAGGAUGAUCCGCCGAACUGGGACUGAGACACGGCCCAGACUCCUACGGGAGGCAGCAGUGGGGAAUAUUGGACAAUGGGGGGAACCCUGAUCCAGCCAUGCCGCGUGUGUGAAGAAGGCCUUAUGGUUGUAAAGCACUUUAAGCGAGGAGGAGGCUACUUUAGUUAAUACCUAGAGAUAGUGGACGUUACUCGCAGAAUAAGCACCGGCUAACUCUGUGCCAACCGCCGCCGUAA